GCCGCGAUAGCUCAGUCGGUAGAGCGCAUCCAUGGUAAGGAUGAGGUCACGAGUUCAAAUCUCGUUCGCGGCUCCA
Molecule: transfer RNA, 76 nt
Filed under: Candidatus Saccharimonadota bacterium
Lineage: Bacteria; Candidatus Saccharimonadota
Also listed under: 1 other name
Description: tRNA-Thr
Rfam family: tRNA
About the family: Transfer RNA (tRNA) molecules are approximately 80 nucleotides in length. Their secondary structure includes four short double-helical elements and three loops (D, anti-codon, and T loops).
Source: RNAcentral